This 104-nucleotide small nuclear RNA is filed under the name Echinops telfairi (small Madagascar hedgehog). The record is from RNAcentral. Lineage: Eukaryota; Metazoa; Chordata; Mammalia; Afrosoricida; Tenrecidae.
GUGCUUGGUUCGGCAGCACAUAUACUAAAAUUGGAAUGAUACAGAGAUUAGCAUGGCCCCUACGCAAGGAUGACACGCAAAUUCGUGAAGUGUUCCAUAUUUUU